Molecule: ribosomal RNA, 1444 nt
Filed under: marine sediment metagenome
Description: bacterial LSU rRNA
Rfam family: Archaeal large subunit ribosomal RNA
Source: RNAcentral
GGCGGGGACAGGCUCGGGCGGAGGCGAGGCGGUGAAGUCUCGUGGACCGUGUAUGUAGGAGAAGCCAGGGAAGAGUAGCAGCAAAGUGUGGUGAGAAUCCGCACCACCGGAGGGGCCAGGGUUCCUCGGCAAUGAUCGUCAGCCGAGGGUUAGCCGGUCCUAAGGAUAUCCUUAACCGAGAUAUUCGAAAGGGAAAUGCGUUAAUAUUCGUAUGCCUCUGUACAAUAAUGGUGACGGCUUUGGUUAGUUCGGCGGGUCAUAUAGCAGGCCCGUGAAGCGUUCAAUAAUCGAUUGGAGAACCGUAACGGUGAGAAGAUCGAGAAGGCGUGAAAGCAAUCCGAAUGAUACCGAGGUCCCGUGAAAAACCGUACAGAUGACCGUACCGAGAACUGACACAGGUGCCCCUGGGUGAGUAGCCUAAGGUGUGACGGAAAAACAACCGCGAGGGAACUCGGCAAAAUCGCCCCGUAACUUCGGGAGAAGGGGUGCCAGCCUUGAGAAAGGCUGGUCGCAGUGACUAGAGGACUCCGACUGUUUAAUAAAAACAUAGGAGACUGCCAGUCCGAAAGGAUGUGUAUAGUCUCUGAAUCCUGCUCAGUGCCGGUAUCUGAAAUGGGGGUACAACCUCACGAAGGACCGGUAAACAGCGGGGGUAACUAUGACCCUCUUAAGGUAGCGUAAUACCUUGUCGCUUAAUUGGCGACUUGCAUGAAUGGUCUAACGAGAGUCCUACUGUCCCCGCGGUUGGUCCGGCGAAAUUGACUUUACUGGCGCACAGUCCAGUACCUUCAGCCUGCAAGCGAAGACCCCGUAGAGCUUUACUGCAGCCUGUCGUUGUGUAGUGGCACUCCACGUGCUGCGUAGACGGGAGACAUCGAUCCAUCAGGCGCCAGCCUGGUGGGGAGUCAAACAGAGAGACACCGUCCUUGAAGUGCAACUACACUCACUCUUAACGAGGACACCGAUAGGUGGGCAGUUUGGGUGGGGCGCCACGCGCUCGAAAAAAUAACAAGCGUGCCCAAAGGUCAGCUUAGGUGGUUCAGUCUCCACCGCUAAAUGUAAGGGUAAAAGCUGGCUUGACGUGGAUCGGCACAAUAACGAUCGACGAUGAGAAAUCAGGGCCUAACGAACCUACUAGCCUCAUUUAUGGGGGCAGUAGAUAACAGAAAAGUUACCUCGGGGAUAAUUGAGUUGUCACCAGCAAGAGCUCACAUCGACCUGGUGGCUUGCUACUUCGAUGUCGUCUCUUCCUAUCCUGGGUGUGCAGAAGCACCCAAGGGUGGGGUUGUUCGCCCAUUAAAAGGGAUCGUGAGAUGGGUUUAGACCGUCGUGAGACAGGUUUGUUGCUUUGUGGCUGAAGCGCGUAAGAUACCUGACGGGAAGGGGCUCUUAGUACGAGAGGAACGGAGUCUCGGUGCCACUAGUCUACCAGUUGUCUGCUAAG